This is a long non-coding RNA of Pezoporus occidentalis (night parrot), 621 nucleotides long. RefSeq lists it as uncharacterized. NCBI's taxonomy places the organism in Eukaryota, Metazoa, Chordata, Aves, Psittaciformes, Psittacidae. The transcript is spliced from 3 exons. The record is from RefSeq and is a predicted model, not a curated record.
AUCUUUCAUUUGAGAAGUGUGAGAUUUCCAAGAUCACCAGAGCAGUGGCCACUGGGAAAAAUUCCCUUGGAGGAGGCCUUCAGUUAGUGACCUCUGUUUAAGUUGCUGCAUGAGGUAAACCAUGCUCGAGGAGCAAAUUUGGACUGUGAAGAGAAUGAAGCCAUUUUCUAAGAAUAUUCCUCACCUGCAUGAGAUACCGAUGAGCCGAGUAUCUUCUUCUACUGGCAGAUGAGACCUCAGGCUGCAUCUUGUCUUCCAUCAUAAUGGAAUCCACUGUACAGGAGCACUUGAGGUGGCACCUCUUGGUAAUCUUUUUUACUACACGAGAGUAAUUGGCUGAUGCUUCCCAGAAUUGUUGGGCUGCUAAGGCUCUGGUAAACCCUGUAUAUGCCUCAAGGAAAACCGUACAUGCCUCGCAGGGGUCCAGGAAAGUAGGUGAGUGAGGGUAGACUACAAUGAUCAGAAAAAUGGCUAAUGCUUAUAAGAAUCCUGUUGCUUGAGGACCAUUCCCUGUUCACUUGCCAUGAAUAAGGAAGGAGCAAAGUUGAACGAAUUGUCUAGCAAGGUUGGUGAGCUGGGUAUCCCUUUCAUAAACCUGGGGCUUAGCUGGAACUUUCUGCA